UGCAAGACCACUUUGUAGUCCCUACCAGCU
This 30-nucleotide non-coding RNA is filed under the name Homo sapiens (human). Lineage: Eukaryota; Metazoa; Chordata; Mammalia; Primates; Hominidae. The record is from RNAcentral.